UUUUAUGGAGAGUUUGAUCCUGGCUCAGGAUGAACGCUGGCGGCGUGCCUAAUACAUGCAAGUCGAGCGAACAGAUGAGGAGCUUGCUCCUUUGACGUUAGCGGCGGACGGGUGAGUAACACGUAGGUAACCUACCUAUAAGACUGGGAUAACUUCGGGAAACCGGAGCUAAUACCGGAUAAUAUUUCGAACCGCAUGGUUCGAUAGUGAAAGAUGGCUUUGCUAUCACUUAUAGAUGGACCUGCGCCGUAUUAGCUAGUUGGUAAGGUAACGGCUUACCAAGGCAACGAUACGUAGCCGACCUGAGAGGGUGAUCGGCCACACUGGAACUGAGACACGGUCCAGACUCCUACGGGAGGCAGCAGUAGGGAAUCUUCCGCAAUGGGCGAAAGCCUGACGGAGCAACGC
This 408-nucleotide ribosomal RNA is filed under the name Staphylococcus hominis. RNAcentral's name for it is "bacterial SSU rRNA". It matches the Rfam family "Bacterial small subunit ribosomal RNA", at positions 1 to 397 of the family's 1533-position model. Lineage: Bacteria; Bacillati; Bacillota; Bacilli; Caryophanales; Staphylococcaceae. The record is from RNAcentral.